Arabidopsis thaliana (thale cress) is the source of this 235-nucleotide long non-coding RNA. RefSeq annotates it as other RNA. The transcript has a single exon. NCBI's taxonomy places the organism in Eukaryota, Viridiplantae, Streptophyta, Magnoliopsida, Brassicales, Brassicaceae. The record is from RefSeq.
CUUGGCUGACCUUCUGCCAUCGCUCACAUUCAAGAUUAUCACCUAACAAACAAUGCCAUAUCUUUUGAUAUGGAACCAGACAAAGAAUUGUGACAUGGAAGGAUUAAAGUUAUAAGAAAAUGAUCCAUCAAGUUGUGGGAGGAUUCACAUUAAUUUCAUUGGAAUGUGAUGUCACAUGGAAUUGGCUUUGGAUCAAAGGAAACAAAUAUACAAAGUGGUCGGUCCAUUUUUUAUG